Molecule: ribosomal RNA, 569 nt
Filed under: Micromonospora sp. PW-006
Lineage: Bacteria; Bacillati; Actinomycetota; Actinomycetes; Micromonosporales; Micromonosporaceae
Description: bacterial SSU rRNA
Rfam family: Bacterial small subunit ribosomal RNA
Source: RNAcentral
AGGCUUUGGGAUAACCCCGGGAAACCGGGGCUAAUACCGAAUAUGACCUUGCACCGCAUGGUGUUUGGUGGAAAGUUUUUCGGCUUGGGAUGGGCUCGCGGCCUAUCAGCUUGUUGGUGGGGUGAUGGCCUACCAAGGCGACGACGGGUAGCCGGCCUGAGAGGGCGACCGGCCACACUGGGACUGAGACACGGCCCAGACUCCUACGGGAGGCAGCAGUGGGGAAUAUUGCACAAUGGGCGGAAGCCUGAUGCAGCGACGCCGCGUGAGGGAUGACGGCCUUCGGGUUGUAAACCUCUUUCAGCAGGGACGAAGCGUAAGUGACGGUACCUGCAGAAGAAGCGCCGGCCAACUACGUGCCAGCAGCCGCGGUAAGACGUAGGGCGCGAGCGUUGUCCGGAUUUAUUGGGCGUAAAGAGCUCGUAGGCGGCUUGUCGCGUCGACUGUGAAAACCCGCAGCUCAACUGCGGGCCUGCAGUCGAUACGGGCAGGCUAGAGUUCGGUAGGGGAGACUGGAAUUCCUGGUGUAGCGGUGAAAUGCGCAGAUAUCAGGAGGAACACCGGUGGCG